GGUGGAGGAUAAUCUCGGGAAACUGAGAAUAAUACUCCAUAGAUCUAGGCUGCUGGAAUGCAUCUAGAUUAAAAGCUCCGGCGCCUAAGGAUGGGUCUGCGGACUAUCAGGUUGUAGUCAGGGUAAAGACCUGACUAGCCUACGACGGAUAUGGGUUGUGAGAGCAAUAGCCCAGAGACGAUAUCUGAGACACGAUAUCGGGCCCUACGGGGCGCAGCAGGCGCGAAAUCUUCACAAUGUGCGAAAGCACGAUGAGGGAAUCCCAAGUGCUAGCACGUAAGUGUUAGCUGUUUCUUAGUCUAAAAAACUGAGAGAGUAAGGGCUGGGUAAGACGGGUGCCAGCCGCCGCGGUAAUACCUGCAGCUCAAGUGGUGGCCGCUAUUAUUGGGCCUAAAACGUCCGUAGCCUGUUUAGUAAAUGCUUGGGUAAAUUGUGUAGCUUAACUAUACGAAUACCGGGUAGACUGCUAAACUUGGGACCGGGAGAGGCUAGAGGUACUCCUGGGGUAGAGGUGAAAUUCUGUAAUCCUAGGGGGACCACCAGUGGCGAAGGCGUCUAGCUAGAACGGGUCUGACGGUGAGGGACGAAGCCCUGGGGCGCGAACCGGAUUAGAUACCCGGGUAGUCCAGGGUGUAAACGCUGCUUGCUUGAUGUUAGUUGGGCUCCGAGCCCAACUAGUGUCGGAGAGAAGUUGUUAAGCAAGCUGCCUGGGAAGUACGGUCGCAAGACUGAAACUUAAA
Molecule: ribosomal RNA, 740 nt
Filed under: uncultured archaeon
Lineage: Archaea
Description: bacterial SSU rRNA
Rfam family: Archaeal small subunit ribosomal RNA
Source: RNAcentral